AACAUUACAGGAAGCUGUAAGGAGCCUCCAUUAUUCGAAAAACAACCCACAUAAAUGCGAUUCACAAACUGGAAUAAGUUUACUUCAUGACCAGGCAGUGAUGACAUAUCUGCUGGAGGAAUUAAAAAUAACUUUUGCAAAUGCAGACCCUGAGUGUAUAAAGGAGGAAAUACUUUUUGCUCGGCCAUGAAAGUCUCAGCUAAGAGACUCCAUUAAGACAGGGGCUAAAAAACGACAAAGAUAAUUGCUGGAGUCCAGGUGUAGACUCGUUUAAACAGAUGCAGAGAGAGAACUGUGGCAGACUGCAAUACUGGAACUAAUAUCCGAU
This is a long non-coding RNA of Clarias gariepinus (North African catfish), 328 nucleotides long. RefSeq lists it as uncharacterized. The transcript has 4 exons. The record is from RefSeq and is a predicted model, not a curated record. Lineage: Eukaryota; Metazoa; Chordata; Actinopteri; Siluriformes; Clariidae.